RNAcentral lists this ribosomal RNA (253 nucleotides) under uncultured bacterium. RNAcentral's name for it is "partial 16S ribosomal RNA". It matches the Rfam family "Bacterial small subunit ribosomal RNA", at positions 524 to 776 of the family's 1533-position model. The record is from RNAcentral.
UACGUAGGGUGCAGGCGUUAAUCGGAAUUACUGGGCGUAAAGCGUGCGCAGGCGGCUACCCAAGUCAGAUGUGAAAUCCCCGGGCUUAACCUGGGAACUGCGUUUGAAACUGGGUGGCUAGAGUGCGGCAGAGGGGGGUGGAAUUCCACGUGUAGCAGUGAAAUGCGUAGAUAUGUGGAGGAACACCGAUGGCGAAGGCAGCCCCCUGGGCCUGCACUGACGCUCAUGCACGAAAGCGUGGGGAGCAAACAGG